GGUAAAAACCCUAAGUCAACUCCUCAUUUUCAUUGCACAUCAGCCCACUUGCUGGGCAUCGCCAUGGGAGAACAGGGUUCGAAGAGCCUUCCUGGAGAUUAUGCAUAGGUAUCUCGGUCUACUUGCAGGCCGCCAUGGUUAAAAACAGGGUUCAAAGAGCUUGCAUUUCAUCAAAAGCCACAAAGACCUCAAAUCCUCUGGCUAGAAAGAUGGGGCUUUCCCUUCUACAUAUGGCCCUAUUGAUGAUUUUGCAGGCCGCUAGUUGGAACUCCUCCUUCAUACUUAUUUUUUCGGCAUAUCUGCACAUGUAAAUUUGAGGGCUCUAUUCAGUUUUGGGCUGCACUUCAUGGCUUCAUGUUUCUUGUAUGUAGGUCGCGGCCUUUCUCCAUUCUGCAUGUUCCCAUCUGCAGAUUUACAUAGAAGAGAGUUUCUUUUUAUCUGUAUCUGGGCCGUGGGUUUUUGCUCCUCAAAUCUCAUUCUGUGUAUGCAUUCAAAUGAGGGUUUUAUCUUUCAUGUAAGUCGUUCAAUGAUUCUCUCUACAGAUAUUUCAUCUUAUCUUCAUACUUUUGGAAUCUUAUUUUGAUUUUUCUAUAAAAUGAAGAGGCCACUGAGGUUGUAUCUCUUGUAUCACUGUGAAAAAUUCUUGCAUCAUGCUUCAUCCUUGAAAGAUGUUAGCAUGUCAUUGUGUUAUGAAAACUUUAACUUUGCGUGAAUAUAUUUCAGAAGCUAUACCUUUUCAAAUUUCAA
Long non-coding RNA from Cryptomeria japonica (Japanese cedar), 747 nucleotides. RefSeq lists it as uncharacterized. The transcript has 2 exons. Lineage: Eukaryota; Viridiplantae; Streptophyta; Pinopsida; Cupressales; Cupressaceae. The record is from RefSeq and is a predicted model, not a curated record.